GUGUGUGUGUGUGUGUGUGUGUGUGCGUUUGUCAAAGUGACAUAUGGGGACAUUUUUAUGAAAUUUCACCUUACAUAUGAGGACCUGUUGAAAUAUGGGGACAUUUUCCAUGUCCCCAUAUUUCCCGCAAUGCUAUCGUGUUCUAGACCCUCCCAGCAUGUUCCCAGACCAAAAAUCUCUAAAGUCUUCAUUUGUCAAAUUUUCAGAAAAAGUGUGUGAAAGUGUGUUUAAUUUUUUUGGUCACCUUCGAUUUUGCCCCUAGUGGCCAUCUUUGCUAUUAUGACACACACACACACACACUUGUCCUCAUAUGUCAUAUGUCCUCAUAUGUCAUGUGGGUCAGAAACUCACACACUCCGACAUUUUGAAAAACAUCUAACCAUUACAGCAAUAAACAUACUCUUGAAUUCUGAAUCAAAUAACAACACAUUUUCAACUGAUCUGAUGAUCUCAUCCUUUUUAGUGUUAGUUUUAUCUAUUAAUUUGGUUUAUCUGGAGAUGAUUUGGGCUAGACAAUUAGUAAUAAAGGGAUUAUGGUGAUGAUUUAAUUUGUUUGAUUCAGUAUUUUACUGUAUUGGACUUUUUGCUAUUCUGUUGACUAAAAUACAAUGCCGCACAAUAAUUGCUUUAAAUGUGCCUGAAAUGUAGGUUUUUGCAUAAAAAAAAACAACCUUCAACCUUGAUUGAGACAAAGGCAAUAAUUCAAAUGCAAUUCAAACUACACACAGUAUUUAAUAUUUUCAAAUGGUUACAAUAGCACAUUAUUUGGGUAUUUUUAUCUUUGGGGCAAAUUUAGGAUUAAUAUGGGGAUUGUUUUUGGAGGUAUUCACUUUACAUGGUGUUCAAGAUGGUUACUUCCGCCCACUCUGAAGAGUCUCGGCGUCUGAUUGGUCCAAUUUUCAGUUAGGCGCCGCCUGAUUGGCCGCUGGACGAUGUCUGCUCCUAACAGAGGGCUAAAUCACUAGUUAACUAUUUUCAUCAUGGAAAUUAUACAGCUCACGUAUCACACUUAAUAUUGAAUAUAUAUAAAAAGGGUUUUCCAAAAGGACCAUUUAUAAUCGAAAUACAAAACUUCACACACGAUUUUGAGCACAACAGAGCGCUCAGUGAACAGCACUUCCGGGACCUGCAUCACCGGAGGGGGACAUCUAUCUUGGCCACAAACCAUCUUUGACAGUCUUCGGCAGCAUGGUUGAAUCAGGCGCAUCAACACAUGAUAUAGACAUCGUGUCCAAAAGAAGAGCGAGACGUAAUCCUGAGGCUGAAGCUACCGAGUUUAUUUGAUCUGGAUGUGACAAGUCUUGUUUUAAGGCCCAGUGGAUCAAUGAUUGGAAAGACACCAACUGUUGAUGUUCUAUCUCAACAUUCUCCAGACUCAUGUGACCGAUAAACCGACUUCAUCCCUCCAACAGACACCAACUGUUGGGGUUCUAUCUCAACAUUCUCCAGAUUCAGAUGUGAGCGAUAAACCGACUUCAUCCCUCCAACAGACACCAACUGUUGGGGUUCUAUCUCAACAUUCUCCAGAUUCAGAUGUGAGCGAUAAACCGACUUCAUCCCUCCAACAGAAACCAACUGUUGAGGUUCCAUCUCAACAUUCUCCAGAUUCAGAUGUGAGCCAUUAACUGACUUCAUCCCUCCAACAGAAACCAACUGUUGAGGUUCUAUUUCAACAUUCUCUAGAUUCAGAUGACAGCCAUAAACCGACUUCAUCCCUCCAACAGAUUGACAGCAGGACAAAUCGCUGGAAGUAGGUAUGUCUCAAGCUUCUUCCACUUGGUCCACUCCAAAGCGGGCUGCAAAGGGGAAGAAGUGGAAGCAGUUGAAUGACACAUGUUGCAUUUUGUAACUGGCAACAAAGUACCAGGUAAAAAAGAUUGUGAAGCCUGCCUCCAUAAAGAACUAGUAGCUCUACAGGACAGAGAUUGGCUUGCCAUCAAGUACUACAUCCAUAACAGAAUUAUAUUAAAAAAAGGGGAAAAAAAUGUUUUCCCACAUCUUCUGUGGUAGUUUGAGUAUGUUACCAGCAAUUAAAAAAGCAAAAUAAA
Molecule: long non-coding RNA, 2048 nt
Organism: Nerophis ophidion (straightnose pipefish)
Lineage: Eukaryota; Metazoa; Chordata; Actinopteri; Syngnathiformes; Syngnathidae
Exons: 9
Source: RefSeq, a predicted model, not a curated record